This 1218-nucleotide long non-coding RNA is filed under the name Triticum aestivum (bread wheat). RNAcentral describes it as "long non-coding RNA (TAES_LNC012963)". Lineage: Eukaryota; Viridiplantae; Streptophyta; Magnoliopsida; Poales; Poaceae. The record is from RNAcentral.
UUGACCCUUGAUCUGGUCAAUGAUCUUGUUUUCCAUCUCCUUGCACCCAUUCAUUUCUGUCUUGUUAUCUGAAAUAUCUGAUAUUAUUAUUGAUUAGUUGAUGUCACUAAUUUUUAUACCAAUGGACAUGUCAAUAUGCAAGGAGUGGCGGUUAGAAAGAUUUAAGUGAAAAGAAUCAAUGCAGAGAUAUAAUGCCGCGCGUUGCCGGACCCAUCUGUUUCCCCAACAGGAUGACAGGAACUUACGCAAAUAUAUGGAGACACGAAGUAUUAAAUUUGCUAAAUGUUUACUUUCUCAAAUGAGAAUACUACUUGUUUCCAACAAAUUAGUAUACAAAUACAUAUAUAGGGCUUGGAUGGGUUAGGCAAGUAACAUUAGUGUUGAAGACCCUACAAAAAAACAGAAGUGUUUUAGGACAACAACGUGGGAAAUGCAGGUUAGCAAACCUAUUGACAUUCUUCUUUCUACGAUGACCUCAUCAGCACCAAGAUAUUUAAUCUAACCCAGACCUAGAAAAAUUCAAUUACACAAAAAAGUAAAUAAUAAGAAGAGAAUGAAAGUAGUAAUUUGAAGCACAAACAAAUGAUCAUGGUCAUGCACCAUCCGAAGACAAUGGUAGUCUUACUGAUUUCAAGUUGCAAUUGUAUUGUACCUAUCCCAUAUGAAGUUGUUGGGCGAAGUCCCUGCACUUUGGCGAACUAAAUAAUAGACUGAAAGAUGAAACAAAUCUCACCAUUGUGGACAAUAACAUCACCUAAGUUAACAAAGAUUGGAUGUCAUGGCAUGAGAUGACAUAACACCUACACUUGGAGCUAGCUUAACAUACAGAAGUACCAAUUGUUUAUGUUUCGUAAUCUCAAAGCUAGUCAUCUGACAUGUUUCUUCAGAAAUCUAACAAACCAUGUUGAACUCCUCAACAGUUGGUUAAUCAGGAUAAAAUUAUAGAAUCAUUUAUACGAUGUUAAGUACGGAAUGGACCACAUCUACCAGAGCUUUCCUACCAAAAACAAAUACAUAGAAUGCAACCAAAUACUCCAUGUUUUAGUAAUAAAAUUAUUACCAUGCAGAAAACUGAACAGACCCAAAAUGGUGAUUAUGCAUAUCAUUGUUCGCAGCAGAGGUAGAUGCCUAGGUGGCAAUGAGUGGAUCCUAGUUAUGGAGGACAUCGCCGGGAGAUGGCCUUGAGCUGGCGAAACAUCAGUCGGUACUGUCUUAACC